UCGGGAAUUUUGGGCAAUGGGCGAAACCCUGACCCAGCAACGCCGCGUGAAGGAUGAAGUAUUUCGGUAUGUAAACUUCGAAAGAAUAGGAAGAAUAAAUGACGGUACUAUUUAUAAGGUCCGGCUAACUACGUGCCAGCAGCCGCGGUAAUACGUAGGGACCAAGCGUUGUUCGGAUUUACUGGGCGUAAAGGGCGCGUAGGCGGCAUGACAAGUCACUUGUGAAAUCUCUGGGCUUAACCCAGAACGGCCAAGUGAUACUGUCGCGCUAGAGUGCAGAAGGGGCAAUCGGAAUUCUUGGUGUAGCGGUGAAAUGCGUAGAUAUCAAGAGGAACACCUGAGGUGAAGACGGGUUGCUGGGCUGACACUGACGCUGAGGCGCGAAAGCCAGGGGAGCAAACGGGAUUAGAUACCCAAGUAGUCCCUGAGCGGGCUGGCAAGGCG
Molecule: ribosomal RNA, 444 nt
Filed under: uncultured bacterium
Lineage: Bacteria
Description: bacterial SSU rRNA
Rfam family: Bacterial small subunit ribosomal RNA
Source: RNAcentral